GACGAACGCUGGCGGCGUGCUUAACACAUGCAAGUCGAACGGAAAGGCCCUGCUUUUGUGGGGUGCUCGAGUGGCGAACGGGUGAGUAACACGUGAGUAACCUGCCCUUGACUUUGGGAUAACUUCAGGAAACUGGGGCUAAUACCGGAUAGGAGCUCCUGCUGCAUGGUGGGGGUUGGAAAGUUUCGGCGGUUGGGGAUGGACUCGCGGCUUAUCAGCUUGUUGGUGGGGUAGUGGCUUACCAAGGCUUUGACGGGUAGCCGGCCUGAGAGGGUGACCGGCCACAUUGGGACUGAGAUACGGCCCAGACUCCUACGGGAGGCAGCAGUGGGGAAUAUUGCACAAUGGGCGGAAGCCUGAUGCAGCAACGCCGCGUGCGGGAUGACGGCCUUCGGGUUGUAAACCGCUUUCGCCUGUGACGAAGCGUGAGUGACGGUAAUGGGUAAAGAAGCACCGGCUAACUACGUGCCAGCAGCCGCGGUGAUACGUAGGGUGCGAGCGUUGUCCGGAUUUAUUGGGCGUAAAGGGCUCGUAGGUGGUUGAUCGCGUCGGAAGUGUAAUCUUGGGGCUUAACCCUGAGCGUGCUUUCGAUACGGGUUGACUUGAGGAAGGUAGGGGAGAAUGGAAUUCCUGGUGGAGCGGUGGAAUGCGCAGAUAUCAGGAGGAACACCAGUGGCGAAGGCGGUUCUCUGGGCCUUUCCUGACGCUGAGGAGCGAAAGCGUGGGGAGCGAACAGGCUUAGAUACCCUGGUAGUCCACGCUGUAAACGGUGGGUACUAGGUGUGGGGUCCAUUCCACGGGUUCCGUGCCGUAGCUAACGCUUUAAGUACCCCGCCUGGGGAGUACGGCCGCAAGGCUAAAACUCAAAGGAAUUGACGGGGCCCCGCACAAGCGGCGGAGCAUGCGGAUUAAUUCGAUGCAACGCGUAGAACCUUACCUGGGUUUGACAUGGAUCGGGAGUGCUCAGAGAUGGGUGUGCCUCUUUUGGGGUCGGUUCACAGGUGGUGCAUGGCUGUCGUCAGCUCGUGUCGUGAGAUGUUGGGUUAAGUCCCGCAACGAGCGCAACCCUUGUUCACUGUUGCCAGCACGUUAUGGUGGGGACUCAGUGGAGACCGCCGGGGUCAACUCGGAGGAAGGUGGGGAUGACGUCAAGUCAUCAUGCCCCUUAUGUCCAGGGCUUCACGCAUGCUACAAUGGCUGGUACAGAGAGUGGCGAGCCUGUGAGGGUGAGCGAAUCUCGGAAAGCCGGUCUCAGUUCGGAUUGGGGUCUGCAACUCGACCUCAUGAAGUCGGAAUCGCUAGUAAUCGCAGAUCAGCAACGCUGCGGUGAAUACGUUCCCGGG
RNAcentral lists this ribosomal RNA (1343 nucleotides) under uncultured bacterium. RNAcentral's name for it is "16S ribosomal RNA". It matches the Rfam family "Bacterial small subunit ribosomal RNA", at positions 28 to 1378 of the family's 1533-position model. The record is from RNAcentral.